AAGACAUGGCUUCUUCAACCACUUGUGUCUUUCACAUUGUUGUCCUUAUCUUCAUCUGCUUGCCCUUGGCUAAUACCAUAGAUUUCAAUUACCCUGCAGUCUUCAACUUUGGUGAUUCAAAUUCUGAUACAGGAGGUCUAGUUGCUGGCGUUGGUGAUCGCCUAGAGCCACCCAAUGGACAAACUUAUUUCAAGAAUCCAUCUGGGAGGUUCUGUGAUGGCCGACUAAUCAUCGAUUUCUUGAUGGAUGCAAUGGACCUGCCAUUCUUGAACUCCUAUUUAGACUCCGUUGCUGCACCGAGUUUCAAAAAAGGAGCCAACUUUGCAGCUGCUGGUUCAACUAUACUUCCUGCGACUGCAUCAUCUGUUAGCCCUUUUUCAUUUGGGAUUCAAGUUGCUCAGUUUUUAAGGUUCAAGAAUCGGGUUUCUGAAAUUCAGGCAAAGACUAGGAAAUAUGAUAAGUACCUUCCAGCUCAAGAUUUUUUCCAGAAAGGGCUUUAUAUGUUCGACAUAGGCCAGAAUGAUCUUGCUGGUGGAUUUUACUCCAAGACAUUAGAUCAAAUUCUAGCUUCAAUUCCAACUAUUCUUUCAGGAUUUGAAGAUGGUGUCAAGAGAUUGUAUGACCUAGGGGCCAGGAAUUUCUGGGUUCAUAAUACAGGUCCAUUGGGGUGCUUAGGUCAGAAUAUAGCCAAAUUUGGAACUGAUGUAUCAAAGUUGGAUGAGCUAGGAUGUGUUAGCUCACAUAAUCAAGCUGCAAAACUUUUGAAUCUGCAGCUUUACGCCCUCUGCAAGAAGCUUCAGGGCCAGUAUUCAGAUGCAAAUAUCACUCAUGUUGAUAUUUUUUCCAUCAAGUCUAAUCUGAUAGCAAAUUAUUCCCGAAAUGGAUUUGAGCAGCCAUUAAUGGCUUGCUGUGGAUAUGGAGGACCUCCACUCAACUAUGACAGCAGGAUUGCCUGUGGUCAGACAAAGGUGUUGGAUGGAAACAAUGUCACUGCCAAAGCAUGCAAUGACAGUAGUGAAUAUAUCAAUUGGGAUGGAAUUCACUACACAGAAACUGCAAACCAGUUUGUCGCCUCACAAAUUCUCACCGGGAAGUACUCUGAUCCACCCUUCGCAGACAAGAUGCCUUUCCUUCUCAAACUAAAGUUCUGAGGAACUAACAUGCUUCUCAUUGUUUUAUUCUCUGUGAACUUAUAUAUUAUAAUUUACUUAAGAAAUUCAACACUCCCAUGGAUUCUUGAAAAUAUAGAACUUAUGGAUCAUGUCAUGA
RNAcentral lists this unclassified non-coding RNA (1269 nucleotides) under Hevea brasiliensis (rubber tree). Lineage: Eukaryota; Viridiplantae; Streptophyta; Magnoliopsida; Malpighiales; Euphorbiaceae. The record is from RNAcentral.